AUUGAACGCUGGCGGCAGGCUUAACACAUGCGAGUCGAGCGGGGGAAGGUAGCUUGCUACCGGACCUAGCGGCGGACGGGUGAGUAAUGCUUAGGAAUCUGCCUAUUAGUGGGGGACAACAUCUCGAAAGGGAUGCUAAUACCGCAUACGUCCUACGGGAGAAAGCAGGGGAUCUUCGGACCUUGCGCUAAUAGAUGAGCCUAAGUCGGAUUAGCUAGUUGGUGGGGUAAAGGCCUACCAAGGCGACGAUCUGUAGCGGGUCUGAGGGGAUGAACCGCCACGCUGGGACUGAGACCCGGCCGAGACUCCUACGGGAGGUAGCAGUGGGGAAUAUUGGACAAUGGGGGGAACCCUGAUCCAGCCAGGCCGCGUGUGUGAAGAAGGCCUUAUGGUUGUAAAGCACUUUAAGCGAGGAGGAGGCUACUUUAGUUAAUACCUAGAGAUAGUGGACGUUACUCGCAGAAUAAGCACCGGCUAACUCUGUGCCAGCCGCCGCAGUAA
Molecule: ribosomal RNA, 501 nt
Filed under: uncultured bacterium
Lineage: Bacteria
Description: partial 16S ribosomal RNA
Rfam family: Bacterial small subunit ribosomal RNA
Source: RNAcentral